Molecule: ribosomal RNA, 350 nt
Filed under: uncultured Saccharomycetes
Lineage: Eukaryota; Fungi; Ascomycota; Saccharomycetes
Description: eukaryotic LSU rRNA
Rfam family: Eukaryotic large subunit ribosomal RNA
Source: RNAcentral
CAGCUCAAAGUGGGUGGUAAAUUCCAUCUAAAGCUAAAUAUUGGCGAGAGACCGAUAGCGAACAAGUACAGUGAUGGAAAGAUGAAAAGAACUUUGAAAAGAGAGUGAAAAAGUACGUGAAAUUGUUGAAAGGGAAGGGCAUUUGAUCAGACAUGGUGUUUUUUGCAUGCACUCGCCUCUCGUGGGCUUGGGCCUCUCAAAAAUUUCACUGGGCCAACAUCAGUUCUGGCAGCAGGAUAAAUCAUUAAGAAUGUAGCUACCUCGGUAGUGUUAUAGCUUAUUGGAAUACUGCUAGCUGGGAUUGAGGACUGCGCUUCGGCAAGGAUGUUGGCAUAAUGGUUAAAUGCCGC